Molecule: ribosomal RNA, 499 nt
Filed under: Oligodon cyclurus (Cantor's kukri snake)
Lineage: Eukaryota; Metazoa; Chordata; Lepidosauria; Squamata; Colubridae
Description: partial 12S ribosomal RNA
Source: RNAcentral
GCCCAGCCUUAACACAACAAUUAAACAACCCAUUGUCCGCCAAAUAACUACGAGUAACAACUUAAAAUUUAAAAGACUUGACGGUACCCCACAACAACCUAGAGGAGCCUGUCUAAUAAACGAUACUCCACGAUUAACCCAACCCACCAUAGCCAACCAGUCUAUAUACCGCCGUCGCCAGCCCACCUCCUGAGAGAAUAAAAGUGAGCCAAACAGUUUAUCACUAACACGACAGGUCAAGGUGUAACUAAUGGGUGGGAACAAGAUGGGCUACAUUUUCUACUCAGAACAUACGAAUUAUCUUUGAAAAAACAAUUGAAGGCGGAAUUUAGCAGUAUAUUAAGAACAAAAACACUUAAUUGAAACCAGCGCAAUGGGGUGCGCACACACCGCCCGUCAUCCCUGCAUCCAUAAAUUUCACAUUUAUAAUAACUACACACAUACUAAAACCAGGGCAAGUCGUAACAUGGUAAGCGUACUGGAAAGUGCGCUUAGAAAC